GGGAAGGUGCCAGAGUGGUCGAAUGGGGCCGCCUGCUAAGCGGUUGUGGGGGCCUAAACCUCUACCCAGGGUUCGAAUCCCUGCCUUCCCG
This 91-nucleotide transfer RNA is filed under the name Chloroflexota bacterium. RNAcentral describes it as "Chloroflexi bacterium tRNA-Ser". It matches the Rfam family "tRNA". From Rfam's summary of the family: Transfer RNA (tRNA) molecules are approximately 80 nucleotides in length. Their secondary structure includes four short double-helical elements and three loops (D, anti-codon, and T loops). The record is from RNAcentral. Lineage: Bacteria; Bacillati; Chloroflexota.